GACGAACGCUGGCGGCGUGCUUAACACAUGCAAGUCGAACGGAAAGGCCCUGCUUUUGUGGGGUGCUCGAGUGGCGAACGGGUGAGUAACACGUGAGUAACCUGCCCUUGACUUUGGGAUAACUUCAGGAAACUGGGGCUAAUACCGGAUAGGAGCUCCUACUGCAUGGUGGGGGUUGGAAAGUUUCGGCGGUUGGGGAUGGACUCGCGGCUUAUCAGCUUGUUGGUGGGGUAGUGGCUUACCAAGGCUUUGACGGGUAGCCGGCCUGAGAGGGUGACCGGCCACAUUGGGACUGAGAUACGGCCCAGACUCCUAAGGGAGGCAGCAGUGGGGAAUAUUGCACAAUGGGCGGAAGCCUGAUGCAGCAACGCCGCGUGCGGGAUGACGGCCUUCGGGUUGUAAACCGCUUUCGCCUGUGACGAAGCGUGAGUGACGGUAAUGGGUAAAGAAGCACCGGCUAACUACGUG
RNAcentral lists this ribosomal RNA (468 nucleotides) under uncultured bacterium. RNAcentral's name for it is "partial 16S ribosomal RNA". It matches the Rfam family "Bacterial small subunit ribosomal RNA", at positions 28 to 507 of the family's 1533-position model. The record is from RNAcentral.